Molecule: ribosomal RNA, 465 nt
Filed under: uncultured bacterium
Lineage: Bacteria
Description: partial 16S ribosomal RNA
Rfam family: Bacterial small subunit ribosomal RNA
Source: RNAcentral
GACGAACGCUGGCGGCGUGCUUAACACAUGCAAGUCGAACGGAAAGGCCCUGCUUGCAGGGUACUCGAGUGGCGAACGGGUGAGUAACACGUGGGUGAUCUGCCCUGCACUUCGGGAUAUGCCUGGGAAACUGGGUCUAAUACCGGAUAGGAGCCAUUUUUAGUGUGAUGGUUGGAAAGUUUUUUCGGUGUAGGAUGAGCUCGCGGCCUAUCAGCUUGUUGGUGGGGUAAUGGCCUACCAAGGCGGCGACGGGUAGCCGGCCUGAGAGGGUGGACGGCCACAUUGGGACUGAGAUACGGCCCAGACUCCUACGGGAGGCAGCAGUGGGGAAUAUUGCACAAUGGGCGCAAGCCUGAUGCAGCGACGCCGCGUGGGGGAUGACGGCCUUCGGGUUGGAAACUCCUUUCGCUAGGGACGAAGCUUUUUGUGACGGUACCUAGAUAAGAAGCACCGGCUAACUACGUG